UACGGAGGAGGCAAGCGUUAUCCGGAAUUAUUGGGCGUAAAGCGUCUGUAGGUGGUUUAAAAAGUCCACUGUUAAAAAUUGAGGCUUAACUUCAAAGAUGCCGUGGAAACUUUUAAACUUGAGUAUGGUAGGGGUAGAGGGAAUUUCCAGUGGAGCGGUGAAAUGCGUAGAUAUUGGAAAGACCACCAAUGGCGAAGGCACUCUACUGGGCCAUUACUGACACUGAGAGACGAAAGCUAGGGGAGCAAAUGGG
RNAcentral lists this ribosomal RNA (253 nucleotides) under uncultured bacterium. RNAcentral's name for it is "partial 16S ribosomal RNA". It matches the Rfam family "Bacterial small subunit ribosomal RNA", at positions 524 to 776 of the family's 1533-position model. The record is from RNAcentral.